GGGCCUUUUCCUGUUGGUCCAGACCCCUCAAUCUGCCCAGAGAAGCCACGACAGAAGAGUGGUGAUUGGUGCAAGCGACAUGGGAUGAGGGUUCAGCACUGAUCAAGGUAUUGAGUGAAUUGGCUCUCACUAAGUAUGGCCUUUAAAAACUAUCUGCUGCAUUCCCCUUGGCAAAAUUUCAAUGGAGGUGCUUUACCUAAGUCUACUGAUGGAAUCUGACAUUUGGAAAAAGGGGACAAAACUUGAAGAGGCUCAAAGGCAUCCUGAGAAGAGAAGAAAGAGAAAGAAGUGUAAAAGACAGUA
This is a long non-coding RNA of Balaenoptera musculus (blue whale), 303 nucleotides long. RefSeq lists it as uncharacterized. The record is from RefSeq and is a predicted model, not a curated record. The transcript is spliced from 3 exons. NCBI's taxonomy places the organism in Eukaryota, Metazoa, Chordata, Mammalia, Artiodactyla, Balaenopteridae.